UACGUAGGGUCCGAGCGUUGUCCGGAAUCAUUGGGCGUAAAGCGCGUGUAGGCGGCUCGAUAAGUCUGCUGUGAAAGUCCAAGGCUCAACCUUGGGAUGCCGGUGGAUACUGUCGAGCUCGAGUCCGGAAGAGGAGUGUGGAAUUCCUGGUGUAGCGGUGAAAUGCGCAGAUAUCAGGAGGAACACCAAUGGCGAAGGCAGCACUCUGGGACGUGACUGACGCUGAGACGCGAAAGCGUGGGGAGCAAACAGG
RNAcentral lists this ribosomal RNA (253 nucleotides) under uncultured bacterium. Its description in RNAcentral is "partial 16S ribosomal RNA". It matches the Rfam family "Bacterial small subunit ribosomal RNA", at positions 524 to 776 of the family's 1533-position model. The record is from RNAcentral.